Molecule: ribosomal RNA, 190 nt
Filed under: uncultured bacterium
Lineage: Bacteria
Description: partial 16S ribosomal RNA
Rfam family: Bacterial small subunit ribosomal RNA
Source: RNAcentral
CCUACGGGAGGCAGCAGUAAGGAAUAUUGGUCAAUGGACGGAAGUCUGAACCAGCCAUGCCGCGUGCAGGAAGACGGCCCUACGGGUUGUAAACUGCUUUUGCAGGGGAAUAAACCUUCUUACGUGUAAGAGGCUGAAUGUACCUUGAGAAUAAGGAUCGGCUAACUCCGUGCCAGCAGCCGCGGUAAUA